UAGCGCCAAGGCUGCUCUGGCGGUCGCCGCAGUAACCCCGGCCACAACAAGCAGCGGAGAACUCGCAGCCUUGCGUCCGGAACCCGAAUCCGCACCCGGCAACCGGAGCAGACCAUUGUGGAGCCGGCUGCGGGGGGGAGCUGGGGGAUGCGGGCGCUCACAGGCCCACUCUGCCCACCCAGCCCCCUUGUUACACUACAUCCUGAGACAUGUUUUGAGCGCCUGCUGUGUCUCAAGCCCUGUCCUAGGCACUGGAGAUGAGAUGAAGAAACGAUGAGUAGAGGCCUUGCUUACGUUUAUCCUGCAACUCAUGAUGAGGCUUACUCUGCAACUCCAGUGCUCGGCUUUUUACACAACAGAGUCUCUGUUGCCCAGGCUGGAGUACAGUCGCACGAUCUUGGCUCACUGCAACCUCUGCCUCUCAGGUUCGAGUGAUUCUUCUGCCUCAGCCUCCCAAGUUGCUGGGAUUACAGAAACGGGUAUGCAGGAGAUUAGAAGCCAGUGGGCAUGAGCGUGGCUGCCACCAGGUGAAUGCCUGUGCCCUGGCGUCCUGGGGCCCAGAGGACCGGGAGCUUCCAUCAAGAGGCUGCCUCCCAGCACCAAGGCCAGAGAGUGGCCAGGGGAGGCUAAGUACAGGGAUUUCUCAGAAUGGUGGAAGGAGCUCAGCCCAGCCUUGCCCAAGAUGUAUUGCAGGGGAAUCUGGACAUUUUAGCCAUACCAAGAAUCAUUAGAAGAUGCAAGCUGGAAAAAAGAAGGUCCCAGUUUUGGUUUUGAACCCUUCAUGUUGCAGCAAAUGUGAAUCUCCUACAGAUGGGUUUGGGGACUUACCUGUUCAAAUAGCAGCCCGGUGUCCUCUGUGGGUGGGGGGAGGUUUGUCUGUCCUUUCAUUCUAGUAAAUCCACCAUCCUCUGCACGAGAGCCAGGAGAAUCCACAUCACUUCAAAAGAGCCCCCAAAUCCUUACUACGUACUACAGCCUCCUUUCGAAUGUUCCUGGUUGAGAGGGAGAUCAAUUGCAUUAUUUACAAGUCAAAAAAUUUUGUAUCAAACUUCCUAUGAGCUUGGGCACUCAUGGCCUAUGGAGGCCCACCCAGACGCAGCCCCGCCAUCAUGCUUUUUCGUUGUUUUGUGGAUGUACCCAGGGCUAUUUACACACUCUUUCAUUAAAAGGCUUAUUUUUAUAUUUAAAAUGUUCUAAUCUUGGAGUGAAUUUUACUAAAUGCUAGUGUCCAAUCUGUUCCCCAACUGAAGUUAUCAGAGACAGAAUCCCUUUUAUAUUCAAGUGGAAAUUACUCAUUUUCUCUUGGGUUUUCAAUGUAUCGUCUGACUGUGAGGCUGGCAUUAUUUUCUCUGGGUUUGAAAGCUUCCUGAGAUGUCCUGUUUGUAAGCUCCUGUCCGCAUCACGUUAUCUGCAGGGAAUGUGCUCCCUCCAGGGAGUGUCCUCGGCACUGAUGUGGGAAGAGCCCCCUCUAUAAGUCAUCAUGGCAUUCGGUCAUGGGAGAGUUCCAUACGGGAAAGAUGGAGCAGAGGAAGACAAGGUGUUGAAACCAGUACAGCACCACCUGGGAUAUGGAUGAUCCAGAAUUACAGGACACGUCUUCAUUAAGCCUGGGUAAGAUCCCAGAGCUAUGACUCGAUCAAAAAAUGCCAGUUCGUGCCAAACAACCAAAGCCGGGAAAGAGGGAGAAGGUAUUGGCGUUUGUAGCCUUACGAAAGAUCUUUAUGAAGAGCUUUAGUUUGUUCUUCUCUUUUCCAAAAUGA
RNAcentral lists this long non-coding RNA (1760 nucleotides) under Homo sapiens (human). Its description in RNAcentral is "HSALNT0360669". Lineage: Eukaryota; Metazoa; Chordata; Mammalia; Primates; Hominidae. The record is from RNAcentral.